GCUUUAAUUAACCGGCCCAAACUCAUGGACAUUAUCCACCUACAAGGCAUAACAUGCAACCAUUAUUAUGGGCUAGCAAUUUAGGUUGGGGUGACCUCGGAAUACAAAAAAACUCCCGAGUGAUUAAAAUUUAGACUCACUAGUCAAAAUAUAGUAUCACUUAUUGAUCCAAUAGUUUUGAUCAACGGAACAAGUUACC
This 199-nucleotide ribosomal RNA is filed under the name Lycalopex vetulus (hoary fox). RNAcentral describes it as "partial 16S ribosomal RNA". Lineage: Eukaryota; Metazoa; Chordata; Mammalia; Carnivora; Canidae. The record is from RNAcentral.